RNAcentral lists this long non-coding RNA (1553 nucleotides) under Pelobates cultripes (western spadefoot toad). Lineage: Eukaryota; Metazoa; Chordata; Amphibia; Anura; Pelobatidae. The record is from RNAcentral.
GGAGAGUUGAGUGCACAGUCACACGACCCGGCCUCAACUGUCGACAACGUCGUCUCACCAGACUGUAACGUAAGAAGAACGCGGAAAAGAGCAUAUCCACAAAAGUGGACGUGACGGGGGUGGAAUUUCGGUGUGUACCACUUCUGGUUUUUCCUUACAGAGUGCAUGUUGUACGGAUGUCACACGAUCCAUUUUCCAGUUUAAAUAUUUUGCUUAGAGUUUGGAACUCAGUUGUCAGCUUAACACAGCUGUGUAUUAAUACGUAUUCUAUAACCAAGUCAGUCUGUCAGUAGCCAAGUCUGUCUGUAGUAGUUACAUCACAAAUAGCUAAAGCACGUCCCAGUUUCCCGCAAUUUAAUUGUUAUUUUUUUAAUUUGUUUUACUUUUCUUUUGUUUUUUUAUCUCUGAUGGGAGGAAUUGAUAUUGUUUAUAGUGCUUUACUCUGUUUAUAAAUAAUUGUCUAACCCAUCAAUGUCUUUAAUUUUUUUUUGCCAGAGAUCUUUUCUCAGAGUAUUAUCUUCGAGGGAAAGUAUAUGGAUCGAGGAUUAUAACAUCCAUUCCAGUGGCAAUAGUUCAUCCUAUCCAUAGCUCGAAAGAAAUGUUGAAGAAUUCUGCAAAGAGCUAAACAGGCCCUUGUGCCUCAAACUGUACCCUGACAUCUGGUCUCUCCUCACCAGGAGAUCAGGUGACCAGUACCAGGCUUAUCUGGCGGUGGAAGGGUUGGCCAUCAAUGACAUUGGCUUUAAGAGCACUUAUCAUUAUUGAUGUGUAAUACAUCACCUGGAAAAUAGACAAUCAGCAGAGCAAGAGUACUAAUUGAUUUCAGGAGAUGAGCUCUUCAUGCUGUGUGAGUUUAUUGUAGAGCUCUGGGUACAUAGCUGCCUGUGUCAGCGGAAUGUACACCAAUAUUUGCACACCCUGGUAGAAUUUCUUGUUACUGUGUAUAUCUCUCUUGAAAAGGGUAAAGCUACACAUGGAAUUUACGGAAGAUUGCUACAAAGGAAUGAAUGGCAAUAGUGUUAUGUUUGUUUUUCUUAAGUCACAUGAGUGCUUUUUCUAAACGCUACAUGAGUGCUUCGAACUCAUUUGACUUGUAUCAUUUUAUAUCUUUCUUAAAAGCAGAGAGGACAUUAUUUAUCUUGAGUGCUCAACAUCUUUAUAUAGCCACGUGUGUGCAGCUAAGGUACAGACAAGAUGAAAGUACUUCUAAUUUCAGUUUAUACGUACAAAAUGAAGAAAGACGAAUUCUAUUUUUGUCGCAACUUGUGAGCGUCAUAACUUUGUGAAAGACUCAAGUUGUUGUAUUGUUUUUGUUUUUUGGCACCUUACAUUUCCAAAACCCUUUGAGUGCUUCAGAUAUAUAAUAUGUUUAUAUACAAUGUGAAUAUUCUACAUUCCUGUGGCCAUUUCUUUUUGAAUUUCUUUAUAAAGCCCAGUCUUUGUAUGUUAUUUCAAUCUGUGUAUUUUUUCCUAUGUAUACCAAACAUGCCUAUUUUAUUUUUGCUAAGAUCCAUGUGCUCUAAUGCUGACUCUUUGCCAGUGUUCUUAUAUCG